GGAGAGAUGGCUCAGUGGUUAAGAGCACUGACUGCUCUUCCAGAGGUCCUGAGUUCAAAUCUCAGUAACCACA
Non-coding RNA from Rattus norvegicus (Norway rat), 73 nucleotides. The record is from Rfam. NCBI's taxonomy places the organism in Eukaryota, Metazoa, Chordata, Mammalia, Rodentia, Muridae.